Ribosomal RNA from Pichia membranifaciens, 1713 nucleotides. It matches the Rfam family "Bacterial large subunit ribosomal RNA". Lineage: Eukaryota; Fungi; Ascomycota; Pichiomycetes; Pichiales; Pichiaceae. The record is from Rfam.
UACGUCGGAAUAUAUUGAGACCUAAAGGAAACUGAAAGGAAAAAACCAAGAGAACUGAAACAUCUAAUUAUCUUGAGGAAAAGAAAUAAACAUAGAUUCUAUGAAUAUUGGUGAGAGAAAAUAGAGAAGUAUGAAUAAGUAGUAGGUGUUAAAAGAUCUACGAAAAAGGGAGAACUAAUCCUAAAACUAAAUAUUGUUAGUAAGUGUAAUAAGUACCGAAAGGGAAUAAUAUUAAUAAGUGUAAUUGAGAGCAAUUAUAGGUUAAUAAAAAGAAAUUAAUUGAUAAUGUACCUUUUGUAUAAUGGGUUAGCAAGUUAUAAUGAAUAGCGAAAAUAAAAAGAAUUUGAAAUGAAAAUGAGAAUGAAGUUAUUUGUUAUAGACCCGAAAGUAGAUGAUCUUACCGUAUACAAGUGGUUAAGGUAUAUAUAUAAUAUAUAUAUAUUAAACGACUGAACAGGUUAAUGUUGCAAUAUUAUCUGAAGAUAUAUGGUAAGUGGUGAAAGACAAAUCUGAUCUACAGAUAGCUGGUUCUUUGUGAAAUAUAUUUUAGUAUAGCGUUAAGAAAUGUAUUAAUAUGGUAAAGCAAUUAAUAAUAAUUGGGGUAUUGUAAUAAUAUUAUCAAUAUUAUUUAAUCUCAGAAUAAUAUAAAUAUGAAAAUUAAACGUCAGACUGUUAGUGAUAAGAUUGGCAGUCGAAAGGGAAACAGCCCAGAUCAAAAAUGAAAGUUCCAAAUAAAUAAUUAAGUAUAAAUAAUAUUUAUUAAUCGUAAAACAAUAAUGGGAUUAGUUUGACAGUAAUUAUUCUAUGAUCAACGUGUAACAACGGGUUUAUUAUAUGUAAAUGAGAAUUUAUAUAAGAACCCCCUCCGGGGGUUCCAAUAUAAACUAGUUUAUAUAAGGUUAAUAGAUAGAUAAUAAUCGGAAUUAAAAUAAUUAACUGAAAUUUUGAAUAAUAUAAUUAAAAAAAUAAUAGUUAUAUUAAGGUAACAAAGCAUUUAAUGAAGAGAUAUUCUAAUAAAUUUAGAAUAAAAAAGAUAGUAUAUAAAAAAUUAAUUAAAUUAAUAAAAUGUAUAAAAAAAAGGAAAAAAGAAAUCGAAUUAAAUAGAGAAUGCUGACAUGAGUAACGAAUAAGAGGUAUAAUCCUCUUCACUUUAUGUAUUAGGUUUUAAUAAAAAAUCGGUCCAUAAGGUUUAUUCUGAAAAGAAUAAAUUAAUAGGUAAUAAAUAAAUAUAUUAAAGCCCAUAUAAAAUAAAUAACCCUUUUUGGGGAAAGAUUAUGUAUGGUACAGGAAAAAAAUAUAUAAAAAAUACCGUAAUAAAACCGACACAGGUAUACUAAUAAAAAAUGAAAGUGAAUAAGUUAAUUAUUCUAAAUGAACUCGGCAAAACAAAAGCUCUGACGUUAGUCAAAAAGAGUGAAUAAAGUACAUGUUAUGCGACUGUUUACCAAAAACACAGCACUUUGCAAAAACGAUAAGUAUUAGAAUAAAGUGUGAAUUCUGCCCAAUGUUUAAUAAUAAAGAAAUAUAUUAAAUGAUAUAUUUAUAAAAUUUAAGUAAAUGGCGGCUUUAUACUGAGAGUCAUAAUGUAGCGAAAUUCCUGUUUGAGGAUGUAGGAAGUCCUCUUUUAAUGGGUGUAAACUAUCAAACUACGGGAACACCUUAAAGCUUAUAUCACCAAGCUACAAUGGAAACGUUGUAAGUGGCUGAAGUAAU